Molecule: ribosomal RNA, 253 nt
Filed under: uncultured bacterium
Lineage: Bacteria
Description: partial 16S ribosomal RNA
Rfam family: Bacterial small subunit ribosomal RNA
Source: RNAcentral
UACGAAGGGUGCAAGCGUUACUCGGAAUUACUGGGCGUAAAGCGUGCGUAGGUGGUUUGUUAAGUCUGUUGUGAAAGCCCCGGGCUCAACCUGGGAAUGGCAAUGGAUACGUGCAGGCUAGAGUGCGGUAGAGGGUAGUGGAAUUCCCGGUGUAGCGGUGAAAUGCGUAGAGAUCGGGAGGAACACCAGUGGCGAAGGCGGCUACCUGGACCAGCACUGACACUGAGGCACGAAAGCGUGGGGAGCAAACAGG